GGNNCCCUCAGUAUGGCGAUGACNGGGAUGAGCUCAGUAUGGAAAUUGGGGCCUGUGGCCUUGAAUUGUAGUCUGGAGAUGUACCACCAACUGGGGCGCAGAUGUAAGCCUCUUGGAAAAGAGCAUCAAUGAGGGUGAGAGUCCCGCUUGGCAUCUGCAGUCCCCAGUGCACGGUGUACCUUCUAAGAGUCACGUUCCUCGGGAUUGGAGCGCAAAUCGGGUGGUAAGUUUCAUCUAAAGCUAAAUAUAGUUUCGAGACCGAUAGCAAACAAGUACCAUGAGGGAAAGGUGAAAAGGACUUUGAAAAGAGAGUUAAAAGUGCCUGAAAUUGCUGAAAGGGAAGCGAAUGGAACCAGCGUAACUUGGCGAGAUUGCUGCGUGUCAAUGUGAUUGCUUGCUGCUUCAACGUAAGUGUUGUAGUAAGUCUUGAACAGGACAUGCGCGGUGCUUCUUGCCUUGUGUGUCACCGUCAGUUCGCAACUGGGGAAAACUUCAGGGACAUGGUAGCCUGUCUCCGGGUGGGUGAACGUGUUUGCUGGAACUCAUUUGCGGAUUGCUUGGUGACUAAAUGGUUCCAUCUGACCCGUCUUGAAACACGGACCAAGGAGUCUAACAUAUGUGCAAGUUCACGGGUGUUAAACCUGCUUGCGUAAUGAAAGUGACUGCUGGGAUUUUUGCACCAGCAACCGACCAAUCAAUUGAGAGAGGUUUGAGUAUGAGCAUAUCUGUUAGGACCCGAAAGAUGGUGAACUAUGCCUGUGAAGGGCAAACUCAGGGGAAACUCUGAUGGAGGCUCGUAGCGGUACUGACNG
RNAcentral lists this ribosomal RNA (812 nucleotides) under Scrippsiella trochoidea. RNAcentral's name for it is "eukaryotic LSU rRNA". It matches the Rfam family "Eukaryotic large subunit ribosomal RNA", at positions 73 to 892 of the family's 3401-position model. Lineage: Eukaryota; Dinophyceae; Peridiniales; Peridiniaceae. The record is from RNAcentral.